This 1363-nucleotide ribosomal RNA is filed under the name uncultured bacterium. Its description in RNAcentral is "bacterial SSU rRNA". It matches the Rfam family "Bacterial small subunit ribosomal RNA", at positions 49 to 1401 of the family's 1533-position model. The record is from RNAcentral.
UAACACAUGCAAGUCGAGGGGCAGCGGGGAGGAAGCUUGCUUUCUCCGCCGGCGACCGGCGCACGGGUGAGUAACACGUAUGCAACCUGCCCCUGUCAGGGGGACAACCCGCCGAAAGGCGGGCUAAACCCGCGUACAUGCCACCGGGGCAUCCCGGAGGCAGGAAAGGCUUCGGCCGGACAGGGAUGGGCAUGCGGCGCAUUAGGCAGUAGGCGGGGUAACGGCCCACCUAACCGACGAUGCGUAGGGGUUCUGAGAGGAAGGUCCCCCACACUGGUACUGAGACACGGACCAGACUCCUACGGGAGGCAGCAGUGAGGAAUAUUGGUCAAUGGUCGGGAGACUGAACCAGCCAAGCCGCGUGAGGGAGGAAGGUACAGAGUAUCGUAAACCUCUUUUGUCAGGGAACAAAGACUGGGACGCGUCCCCGGAUGAGUGUACCUGAAGAAAAAGCAUCGGCUAACUCCGUGCCAGCAGCCGCGGUAAUACGGAGGAUGCGAGCGUUAUCCGGAUUUAUUGGGUUUAAAGGGUGCGCAGGCGGUCUGUUAAGUCAGCGGUCAAAGCCCGGGGCUCAACCCCGGCCCGCCGUUGAAACUGGCAGUCUCGAGUUGGAGAGAAGUAUGCGGAAUGCGCGGUGUAGCGGUGAAAUGCAUAGAUAUCGCGCAGAACUCCGAUUGCGAAGGCAGCAUGCCGGCUCCACACUGACGCUGAGGCACGAAAGCGUGGGUAUCGAACAGGAUUAGAUACCCUGGUAGUCCACGCAGUAAACGAUGAAUGCUGGCUGUCCGGGGGGACUGACCCCUGGGUGGCGAAGCGAAAGCGAUAAGCAUUCCACCUGGGGAGUACGCCGGCAACGGUGAAACUCAAAGGAAUUGACGGGGGCCCGCACAAGCGGAGGAACAUGUGGUUUAAUUCGAUGAUACGCGAGGAACCUUACCCGGGCUCAAACGGGGAGUGGCGCAGGCAGAGACGCCUGUUUCCCACGGGACACUCCCCGAGGUGCUGCAUGGUUGUCGUCAGCUCGUGCCGUGAGGUGUCGGCUUAAGUGCCAUAACGAGCGCAACCCCCGCGUGCAGUUGCUAACAGUCAACGCUGAGGACUCUGCACGGACUGCCGGCGCAAGCCGCGAGGAAGGCGGGGAUGACGUCAAAUCAGCACGGCCCUUACGUCCGGGGCGACACACGUGUUACAAUGGGUGGUACAGCGGGAAGCCAGGCGGCGACGCCGAGCGGAACCCGAAAUCCACUCUCAGUUCGGAUCGGAGUCUGCAACCCGACUCCGUGAAGCUGGAUUCGCUAGUAAUCGCGCAUCAGCCAUGGCGCGGUGAAUACGUUCCCGGGCCUUGUACUCACCGCCCGUCAAG